RNAcentral lists this ribosomal RNA (400 nucleotides) under uncultured bacterium. RNAcentral describes it as "bacterial SSU rRNA". It matches the Rfam family "Bacterial small subunit ribosomal RNA", at positions 355 to 769 of the family's 1533-position model. The record is from RNAcentral.
UGGGGAAUCUUGCGCAAUGGGCGAAAGCCUGACGCAGCGACGCCGCGUGUGCGAUGAAGGUCUUCGGAUCGUAAAGCACUGUCGCGAGGGAAAAAGCCAGUGAUGGUACCUCGAAAGGAAGCACCGGCUAACUCUGUGCCAGCAGCCGCGGUAAUACAGAGGGUGCGAGCGUUGUUCGGAAUUAUUGGGCGUAAAGCGCUUGUAGGCGGUCCGUCAAGUCGCAUGUGAAAGCUCCAGGCUCAACCUGGAAAGUGCGCGCGAAACUGACGGACUUGAAUGCCGGAGAGGGUGGCGGAAUUCCCGGUGUAGAGGUGAAAUUCGUAGAUAUCGGGAGGAACACCAGAGGCGAAGGCGGCCACCUGGACGGACAUUGACGCUGAGAAGCGAAAGCGUGGGGAGC